This 468-nucleotide ribosomal RNA is filed under the name uncultured bacterium. RNAcentral's name for it is "partial 16S ribosomal RNA". It matches the Rfam family "Bacterial small subunit ribosomal RNA", at positions 28 to 507 of the family's 1533-position model. The record is from RNAcentral.
GACGAACGCUGGCGGCGUGCUUAACACAUGCAAGUCGAACGGAGAGGCCCUGCUUUUGUGGGGUGCUCGAGUGGCGAACGGGUGAGUAACACGUGAGUAAACUGCCCUUGACUUUGGGAUAACUUAAGGAAACUGGGGCUAAUACAGGAUAGGAGAUUCUGCUGCAUGGUGGGGGUUGGAAAGUUUAGGAGGUUGGGGCUGGGGUGGCGGCUUUUCAGCUUGUUGGUGGGGUAGUGGCUUACCAAGGCUUUGACGGGUGGCCGGCCUGAGAGGGUGACCGGCCACAUUGGGACUGAGAUACGGCCCAGACUCCUACGGGAGGCAGCAGUGGGGAAUAUUGCACAAUGGGCGGAAGCCGGAUGCAGCAACGCCGCGUGCGGUAUGACGGCCUUCGGGUUGUAAACCGCUUUCGCCUGGGACGAAGCGGGAUUGACGGUAAUGGGUAAAGAAGCACCGGCUAACUACGUG